Molecule: long non-coding RNA, 365 nt
Organism: Spea bombifrons (plains spadefoot toad)
Lineage: Eukaryota; Metazoa; Chordata; Amphibia; Anura; Pelobatidae
Exons: 2
Source: RefSeq, a predicted model, not a curated record
AGAAACGCCAGUGAAUGGAGACUCUACAUCCCAAGCAAAUGAGGGUAGUGUUGAUAAGGAAAGUGAAGAACGUAACCAAGAGUGUGAAACAAGUGAUCAUGGAAAGGAAGAAGACGGUACUAAUCUCACAGACGAAACUAGUAAUGCUGGCCUGAUCCCUGCUGAGACUUCUGGAAGUUGAGGGGCUGUGACACAUAGGAUUCUACUCCAUUAUUGCUGAAGACUGUCUUUGUCAGAAGUCCAUUUCAAGGGUUGCAUCUACUGUGUCCCCCUAUGCUCUUAGUGAUGUUUGGUUAUUUUUUGUUUUGUUUUUCCUAGUUUAUUUCUUGUGACAUGAAAUGAGUAUAAAAAGUUUUUAUAGAUAA